This 497-nucleotide ribosomal RNA is filed under the name uncultured bacterium. RNAcentral describes it as "partial 16S ribosomal RNA". It matches the Rfam family "Bacterial small subunit ribosomal RNA", at positions 28 to 507 of the family's 1533-position model. The record is from RNAcentral.
GAUGAACGCUGGCGGCGUGCCUAAUACUUGCAAGUCGAGCGAACGUACGAGAAGCUUGCUUCUCUGAUUUUAACGGCGGACGGGUGAGUAACACGUGGAUAACCUACCUAUAAGACUGGGAUAACUUCGGGAAACCGGAGCUAAUACCGGAUAAUAUUUUGAACCGCAUUGUUCAAAAUUUAAAGACGGUCUUGCUGUCACUUAUAGCUGCAUCCGCGCUGCAUUAGCUAGUUGGUAAGGUAACGGCUUACCAAGGCUACGAUGUAUAGCCGACCUGAGAGGGUGAUCCACCACACUGGAACUGAGAAACGGUACAGACACCUACAAGAGGAAGCGGUAGGGAAUCUUAAGCAAUGGGCGAAAGGCUAAUGGAGCAACACCGCGUGAGUAAUGAAGGAGUGCGGAGCGAAAAACUCUGUUAGUAAGAAAGAACAUAUGUGGAAGUAACUGGGCAGAUCAUGACGGUACCGAAAGAGAAAGCCACGGCUAACUAAGUG